GAAACUUAAAGGAAUUGACGGAAGGGCACCACCAGGAGUGGAGCCUGCGGCUUAAUUUGACUCAACACGGGGAAACUCACCAGGUCCAGACACAAUAAGGAUUGACAGAUUGAGAGCUCUUUCUUGAUUUUGUGGGUGGUGGUGCAUGGCCGUUCUUAGUUGGUGGAGUGAUUUGUCUGCUUAAUUGCGAUAACGAACGAGACCUUAACCUACUAAAUAGUGGUGCUAGCAUUUGCUGGUUAUCCACUUCUUAGAGGGACUAUCGGUUUCAAGCCGAUGGAAGUUUGAGGCAAUAACAGGUCUGUGAUGCCCUUAGACGUUCUGGGCCGCACGCGCGCUACACUGACGGAGCCAGCGAGUCUAACCUUGGCCGAGAGGUCUUGGUAAUCUUGUGAAACUCCGUCGUGCUGGGGAUAGAGCAUUGUAAUUAUUGCUCUUCAACGAGGAAUUCCUAGUAAGCGCAAGUCAUCAGCUUGCGUUGAUUACGUCCCUGCCCUUUGUACACACCGCCCGUCGCU
This 518-nucleotide ribosomal RNA is filed under the name Thalassotalea mangrovi. RNAcentral's name for it is "SSU rRNA". It matches the Rfam family "Eukaryotic small subunit ribosomal RNA", at positions 1139 to 1680 of the family's 1831-position model. Lineage: Bacteria; Pseudomonadati; Pseudomonadota; Gammaproteobacteria; Alteromonadales; Colwelliaceae. The record is from RNAcentral.